GCUUGCUCCUGGGUGACGAGCGGCGGACGGGUGAGUAAUGUCUGGGAAACUGCCUGAUGGAGGGGGAUAACUACUGGAAACGGUAGCUAAUACCGCAUAAUGUCGCAAGACCAAAGAGGGGGACCUUCGGGCCUCUUGCCAUCAGAUGUGCCCAGAUGGGAUUAGCUAGUAGGUGGGGUAACGGCUCACCUAGGCGACGAUCCCUAGCUGGUCUGAGAGGAUGACCAGCCACACUGGAACUGAGACACGGUCCAGACUCCUACGGGAGGCAGCAGUGGGGAAUAUUGCACAAUGGGCGCAAGCCUGAUGCAGCCAUGCCGCGUGUAUGAAGAAGGCCUUCGGGUUGUAAAGUACUUUCAGCGGGGAGGAAGGCGUUGAGGUUAAUAACCCCAACGAUUGACGUUACCCGCAGAAGAAGCACCGGCUAACUCCGUGCCAGCAGCCGCGGUAAUACGGAGGGUGCAAGCGUUAAUCGGAAUCACUGGGCGUAAAGCGCACGCAGGCGGUCUGUCAAGUCGGAUGUGAAAUCCCCGGGCUCAACCUGGGAACUGCAUUCGAAACUGGCAGGCUAGAGUCUUGUAGAGGGGGGUAGAAUUCCAGGUGUAGCGGUGAAAUGCGUAGAGAUCUGGAGGAAUACCGGUGGCGAAGGCGGCCCCCUGGACAAAGACUGACGCUCAGGUGCGAAAGCGUGGGGAGCAAACAGGAUUAGAUACCCUGGUAGUCNACGCNGUAAACGAUGUCGACUUGGAGGUUGUGCCCUUGAGGCGUGGCUUCCGGAGCUAACGCGUUAAGUCGACCGCCUGGGGAGUACGGCCGCAAGGUUAAAACUCAAAUGAAUUGACGGGGGCCCGCACAAGCGGUGGAGCAUGUGGUUUAAUUCGAUGCAACGCGAAGAACCUUACCUACUCUUGACAUCCAGAGAACUUUCCAGAGAUGGAUUGGUGCCUUCGGGAACUCUGAGACAGGUGCUGCAUGGCUGUCGUCAGCUCGUGUUGUGAAAUGUUGGGUUAAGUCCCGCAACGAGCGCAACCCUUAUCCUUUGUUGCCAGCGGUCCGGCCGGGAACUCAAAGGAGACUGCCAGUGAUAAACUGGAGGAAGGUGGGGAUGACGUCAAGUCAUCAUGGCCCUUACGAGUAGGGCUACACACGUGCUACAAUGGCGCAUACAAAGAGAAGCGACCUCGCGAGAGCAAGCGGACCUCAUAAAGUGCGUCGUAGUCCGGAUUGGAGUCUGCAACUCGACUCCAUGAAGUCGGAAUCGCUAGUAAUCGUAGAUCAGAAUGCUACGGUGAAUACGUUCCCGGGCCUUGUACACACCGCCCGUCACACCAUGGGAGUGGGUUGCAAAAGAAGUAGGUAGCUUAACCUU
This 1369-nucleotide ribosomal RNA is filed under the name uncultured Enterobacter sp. RNAcentral describes it as "bacterial SSU rRNA". It matches the Rfam family "Bacterial small subunit ribosomal RNA", at positions 78 to 1442 of the family's 1533-position model. The record is from RNAcentral. Lineage: Bacteria; Pseudomonadati; Pseudomonadota; Gammaproteobacteria; Enterobacterales; Enterobacteriaceae.